Molecule: long non-coding RNA, 1257 nt
Organism: Bombus impatiens (common eastern bumble bee)
Lineage: Eukaryota; Metazoa; Arthropoda; Insecta; Hymenoptera; Apidae
Exons: 2
Source: RefSeq, a predicted model, not a curated record
UAUCUUCUAAACUUAUACUAAACGCGGCAGAACAAAUGGUGGGCCAUCUAUUAGCAACCUAUUCCAAGGUCUGUUGCGUAAUAUUUAGGGAAUUGUCAUAUGUUGGAAAGAUAAACGCUGGUUUCGCGGAAAAUUCGCGAAUAUGGAUCAAAGAAAAUGUGGACGAAAGAAAUUUCUACGGCCUUUGACGAGAACCAGGUAUUAUCGAUGAUUUUCCACGCAGCUUAAAGUAAAGCGUACGAUGCAUCGAAGCGGCACGUAACGAGCACGAGUCAUAAAUACACCAGGAACGAUAUAUAUCGAAGGUGCCCCCCCCCCCUUUGCCUCAAAAGCGGCGAGACGCGCCGAAAAUCCUGGCUACGCGCGAUCGUCUUUCGCGUGCACGGGACCCAGCUGGCAAUUAAUCUUUCCACGAUCUUCUGGUCGACUCGUUUUCCUUCGAACAUGUGCCACGGUUCUCACCCUAAAUCCCGUCGCGCGUGACGAAACUUCCACGCGCCAAGUUCCGAGCCUUUUAAUUUGGACGGGAAAGAAAUUCGAACGACGAAUAAAGAGUCUACUAAUUACGGCGAAUUCGAGGUCGUUUUGUAUUUUCACGCGUAAUACACGUGAAAACAGUUGCAGCGUUAACGAUUAAAAAGAUUCUCUUUACGUCCUAACGUGGCACGAAAUUUUCCUUCGAUCUUAAACUUACGAUAAACUUGCUUCGAAAAGAAGCCAAAAUGGAGUGCGAAUAUCCUUGGUGUUUAAAUAAAUACCGAUCGCCCAAGUGCGUUUUGCAAUAUUACGUAAUUAUUCUGCGUUCCACCAUUGCCAGCAUACGAUGUAACGAUAACACGAAAGAAGUCUUAUGGUGGCUCGUCGAAAGUCUCUGUAAAGGAAGAUCUCGUGUAUGUAGAUGAACGGGACGAGGAAAGAGAUGUUGAGAAAUCUGUCUCUAACGAGAGAGCGAGAGAGCUUGCGCAACCGGUGCCCAUCUGGCCAGAAAGCUUUUAUCGUGCUUUUUCGGUACGGUCGUCGACAUAAGCGUGGGCAGCCUAAUUCCUACGGCUGUCGUUUCUGCAACAUACGCGUUCGACCGCCAAUAGACAGAACAGACGACCAUCGGCACGACACCCCUUCCAUCCAUCGAAAUCCCAUGAAACUCCUACGAAACAUGCGACCAGCCCACGAGUUUACGAGCGACUCGAUUCCCUGGAAUCGUGGAAACCAGCCUCCAAACAGCCAGGAAAAAAGACGUCGAGGAAGAGAAAAAGA